GAAAUCAUUUCGAAGAAUGUUGUUGAUAGUGGCUUAUCACUUAUAAGCUCUGUUUCUUCCAUGGCUUUGGGUUCUCAUGAAGUUUCCAUUUUGGUUGCUGGAUUUCCUCGGAAGGUGUCUACAGUUGCGAUUGCUGUAGGGGGAUUGGUAUCCUUCUUUGUUUUCGGAUUGGUGCUUGAUCCAAUCAGUUCCUCAGUUAGUGGGGUGUUUUAUGGCAAUGCGAAUCCUCAACAAGUUGAGAUCCCUUCGUCUUUGAGCAACAAUACCGUACAAGGCCUUUACACGAGUAACGACGACAUCUAUAAGUCAGAUAAGAACCUGACUUCUCAGUCUAGCUCAGGCUCUCCCGAUCUUGUUAGUUCAGAUAUAUCACCGCCAGAUUUGGAGAAACCUUUGAUGCAGCAAGAGAAAGGGGAUACAGUGUCUUCUUUGGAUACGAGUACGACUGGUGUUGGAUCAGGUGAAGGUGAAACCAAUGUUUCCAAGGCUGGAGACACUCCAAUUGUAUCAUCUCCUUCACAUGAUGCCUCUGAAACUACUUCAGCAGAAACAGAGUGUGAUUUGUAUCAAGGUAGCUGGUUUUAUGAUCCGGGAGGACCUCUGUACACGAACAACUCUUGCCCCGUCCUGACGCAGAUGCAGAACUGCCAGGGCAACGGAAGACCUGAUAAGGGAUAUGAGAACUGGAGAUGGAAACCGUCACAGUGUGACCUUCCUCGGUUUGAUGCCAAGAAAUUUCUCGAGCUAAUGAGAGGCAAGACAUUGGCCUAUAUAGGUGAUUCAGUAGCUCGAAAUCAGAUGGAGUCCAUGUUGUGUCUUCUUUGGCAGGUCGAAACACCGGAGAAUCGUGGGAAUAAAAAGAUGCAGAGAUGGUUUUUCAACUCAACAUCGGUGACGAUUGUCCGUAUCUGGUCAUCUUGGCUUGUCCAUCAGUUCAACGAAAAAUUCGACUAUGCUCCUGAAGGUGUCAUUAAACUUAACCUGGACGUUCCUGAUGAGCGCAUCAUAGAAGCUCUUCCGAGUUUCGACGUGGUAGUCCUGUCAUCAGGUCACUGGUUUGCAAAGCAGUCUGUCUACAUAUCAAAGGGCGAGAUCGUUGGAGGGCAGUUGUGGUGGCCAGACAAAUCAAAGCCCAUGAAAGUCAAUAACGUGGAAGCAUUCGGAAUCUCAGUAGAAACAAUCCUAAAGUCCAUAGCUACGCACCAGAACUUCACAGGGUUGACCAUCGUGAGAACAUGGUCGCCUGAUCACUACGAGGGUGGUGCUUGGAACACAGGAGGCUCAUGCACGGGGAAAGAAGAACCUAUUCUACCCGGGAAGCUAGUGAAAAACGGGUUCACGGAGAUAAUGCACGAGAAGCAAGCGACAGGGUUUAACCGAGCAGUGGAUGGAGUUGAGGAUAGCUCAAAGGUGAAGUUAAAGCUGAUGGAUAUUACAGAGGCUUUCGGGUAUCGCCAUGAUGGUCAUCCGGGGCCGUACAGGAGUCUCGACCCAAACAAGAUCACUAAAAGGGGACCUGAUGGACGACCUCCGCCUCAGGAUUGCUUGCACUGGUGCAUGCCGGGACCGGUCGAUAUAUGGAACGAGAUGGUUUUGGAGCUCAUAAGGAGAGACUUUGAGGGCAAGAAAAUGAGAGACUCAUCAUCUUGAUUUGGUUUUGAACUCAAGGGAGAGAAUAUUACAGGAUCUUACACGUACUAAUCUGAUUCUUGAUUAGUGAUAUAAACCAGCUAUGAAGUCUCACUUGUAGAUUUGUACCACAUGUCCACCACCACGGUGAAGGCAGGCCUUAGAUUUUGGUUCCUCCGAUGAUCUCAUCUCUAGACCGAGUCAGUCUCGGGAGAGAUUCUGGUCCGAAGCUUUUGGUAACUGAGACUGAAUCUAUCUUAAUCCAUUACAGCUCAACAUGAUUAUUGCUAUGAACGCCACAUGCACAAAUAUAUGUAUAAUGUAUUCUCCCUAAUAUAUAUUUAUUAUUUAGUCGUAUUUUGAAAGACA
Molecule: RNA transcript, 1998 nt
Organism: Brassica rapa (field mustard)
Lineage: Eukaryota; Viridiplantae; Streptophyta; Magnoliopsida; Brassicales; Brassicaceae
Gene name: protein trichome birefringence-like 18
Source: RefSeq, a predicted model, not a curated record